This 409-nucleotide ribosomal RNA is filed under the name Fusobacteriota bacterium. RNAcentral describes it as "Fusobacteria bacterium partial 16S ribosomal RNA". It matches the Rfam family "Bacterial small subunit ribosomal RNA", at positions 355 to 776 of the family's 1533-position model. The record is from RNAcentral. Lineage: Bacteria; Fusobacteriati; Fusobacteriota.
UGGGGAAUAUUGCACAAUGGAGGGAACUCUGAUGCAGCAACGCCGCGUGCGGGAUGACGGCCUUCGGGUUGUAAACCGCUUUCAGCCCUGACGAAGCUUUUGUGACGGUAGUGGUAGAAGAAGCACCGGCUAAAUACGUGCCAGCAGCCGCGGUAAUACGUAUGGAGCGAGCGUUGUCCGGAAUUAUUGGGCGUAAAGGGUGCGCAGGCGGCUUUACAAGUUGGAUGUGAAAUAUUGUGGCUCAACCACAAACGUGCAUCCAAAACUGCAAAGCUUGAGUUAAGGAGAGGUAAGUGGAAUUCCUGGUGUAGCGGUGGAAUGCGUAGAUAGCAGGAGGAAUACCGGUGGCGAAGGCGACUUACUGGACUUAAACUGACGCUCAGGCACGAAAGCGUGGGGAGCAAACAGG